This 274-nucleotide ribosomal RNA is filed under the name uncultured bacterium. Its description in RNAcentral is "partial 16S ribosomal RNA". It matches the Rfam family "Bacterial small subunit ribosomal RNA", at positions 523 to 796 of the family's 1533-position model. The record is from RNAcentral.
AUACGGAGGGGGUUAGCGUUGUUCGGAAUUACUGGGCGUAAAGCGCACGUAGGCGGACUGGAAAGUUGGGGGUGAAAUCCCGGGGCUCAACCCCGGAACUGCCUCCAAAACUUCCAAUCUAGAGAUCGAGAGAGGUAAGUGGAAUUCCUAGUGUAGAGGUGAAAUUCGUAGAUAUUAGGAGGAACACCUGUGGCGAAGGCGGCUUACUGGCUCGAUACUGACGCUGAGGUGCGAAAGCGUGGGGAGCAAACAGGAUUAGAUACCCUAGUAGUCC